AACAUAUUUAUAAUUCUAACCAUUGAAAUAUAAACUUAAAAUGUUUAUAAAAUCUAAAGAUCUUAAACUAAAUGUCCAAUGUCCUUAUAAAAAAUCAAUACAAAUAAUAUCAAUGUCCACUUUGUCAUCUUUGCUAGCCAAUCUAAAAAAUUGAACAAAAAUUAAUUAGUAAUCACUAAUUAGAGUACAAAAUAACUAUGCAACAAACAUAAUAUAGCUAUUUUACUAUUCUCUUUCAAAUUCAAUGGAUGACUACAAAACAACAUCAGUCCAAUGCCAGCAAAACUUCGAAGCAGUAGUUAGAAAUCAUAUUCAUAACUAUUAAUUAUCUUUACAACUGCAAAAUUAAAUUCAUUGGAUAAAAUGUAAUACAAGCUUAAAUUGGAAAAAAUGUAAUACAAGGCUUAAAAUGGAAAAAAUGUAAUACAAGGCUUAAAAUGGAAAAAAUGUAAUACAAGGCUUAAAAUGGAAAAAAUGUAGUACCUUUGUUUCUUUUAACAAGGCUUAUAAGGCAGUAAAUCUGCAAAACAAUCACACUCAUUAACAUAUAAAAAGCACACAAAAGCAUAUAAUAUAAAACCAAUAAGCAAAGAAAAUGAAAUAAAAAAAAUAAAGAAGUUAAUCAUUCCAAUUAAAAUUGGUAAAUCUAACUAAUAACAACAAUGAGUAUAUUAAGAUUUAAUUUUUUACCUCUCAAAUAUGUGAAAAGCACACAAAUAUAUGGAAAACACAUAUACAAAUCCAUGGAAAACAUUAAGCAAAUUCAAAUAAAGACUCCUCCAACUCGAGUCUGAGGAAGAAGAAGGAAGAAAGGAACCACUCAACAGCAUGUAAAACAAAAUAGUAUACUUAAAAAAUCUGUUAUCAUGAUGAAGAUUGAAGGCAUCAACAUUAAGAACAUAAUAGAAAGUUAAAAAGUAAGGAUUAAUGUGGAAAAUUGGACAUAGCGGAUUCUUUAUCUUAACAGUAAUAAAACAAACCACAAUCAACUCACCUAACAUAUUCAUAAGAACAAAAACAAACAAUUUAAGAUGAGGACAAACAAUUAGUAGGACAAAUAACAGAGUUAAGAACAGGACAAACUGCAUGUUAAGGUGAGGCAAAUUACUACAUAAUAACACAUUAUAGUUAAGAAAAUUGAAAACAAUAUUUAAUUAGCUAUAGAAAAUUUCAACCAAACUCCAAUAAUACAAGAACAUUCUUGUUUGAUGAUGAUUCAUAAGGGUUGAAAAUCUAACCCUAAUCAUCCAAAAACCUAACCCUAAUCAAAGAUUUAUAACAAAGAUGAAAAAAAAAAGUUGAAAACCUAACACUAAUCAUACAAAAAUAAAAACUAAAUCAAAAUUCUAAUAUAUAAAACAACAUGCAAAAACAAAAAAAAAAAUCAAACUCUAGAAAAUCCAAAAACAGAAACAAUAGUUAAAUCAAAACCUAAUCAUAAUAAAAAGAAAUAAAAACCCAAACACGAUUCAAAAUAGAUUAGAAAAAGAUUAACAUGUUUAAAAAAACAGAGAUGAAUAAUGCUAUUUUUAAACACGAGAUUGAAAAUGCUAACAAAGAGGAAAAUGUUUAGAACAACAAAGACGAAACUAACAAAUUUAAAACAACAAAGACGAAUAAAGACAAUUUUUAAAAACGAGAUUAAAAAGUUUAGAACGAAAAGUUAGAGAGUUGAAAAAUAAGAGAUAGAGUGAUAACCUGGAGUGGACGUGGCUGCCGUUGGCAGUCAUUGAGGCUUGAAGGAAUUAUGGUUUGUUGGUGUGAAGAACUAGGGUUCGUGAGAGGAUGAUGAAAGAGUGAAAUUAGGUUGUAGGUGGGAUUGUGAGACUCUGAUUGAAAUUAGGGCUGAA
RNAcentral lists this long non-coding RNA (1850 nucleotides) under Cicer arietinum (chickpea). RNAcentral's name for it is "long non-coding RNA (CARI_LNC003649)". The record is from RNAcentral. Lineage: Eukaryota; Viridiplantae; Streptophyta; Magnoliopsida; Fabales; Fabaceae.